RNAcentral lists this ribosomal RNA (383 nucleotides) under uncultured eukaryote. Its description in RNAcentral is "partial 18S ribosomal RNA". It matches the Rfam family "Eukaryotic small subunit ribosomal RNA", at positions 592 to 976 of the family's 1831-position model. The record is from RNAcentral.
CAAUAGCGUAUAUUAAAGUUGUUGCAGUUAAAAAGCUCGUAGUUGGAUUUCUGGUGGGAGCGAUCGGUCUGGCGCUUAGCGCGAGUACUUGCAUCGUCUCCGGCCAUCCUUGGGGAGAGUCUGUCUGGCAUUAGGUUGUCGGGCAGAGGAUCCUCAUCGUUUACUGUGAAAAAAUUAGAGUGUUCAAAGCAGGCUUAUGCCGUUGAAUAUAUUAGCAUGGAAUAAUAAGAUAGGACUUUGGUACUAUUUUGUUGGUUUGCGCACCAAAGUAAUGAUUAAUAGGGACAGUUGGGGGUAUUCGUAUUCCGUUGUCAGAGGUGAAAUUCUUGGAUUUACGGGAGACGAACUACUGCGAAAGCAUUUACCAAGGAUGUUUUCAUUAA